Molecule: ribosomal RNA, 412 nt
Filed under: Bacillus siamensis
Lineage: Bacteria; Bacillati; Bacillota; Bacilli; Caryophanales; Bacillaceae
Description: bacterial LSU rRNA
Rfam family: Bacterial large subunit ribosomal RNA
Source: RNAcentral
UUUGGCACCUCGAUGUCGGCUCAUCGCAUCCUGGGGCUGUAGUCGGUCCCAAGGGUUGGGCUGUUCGCCCAUUAAAGCGGUACGCGAGCUGGGUUCAGAACGUCGUGAGACAGUUCGGUCCCUAUCCGUCGCGGGCGCAGGAAAUUUGAGAGGAGCUGUCCUUAGUACGAGAGGACCGGGAUGGACGCACCGCUGGUGUACCAGUUGUUCUGCCAAGGGCAUCGCUGGGUAGCUAUGUGCGGACGGGAUAAGUGCUGAAAGCAUCUAAGCAUGAAGCCCCCCUCAAGAUGAGAUUUCCCAUUCCGCAAGGAAGUAAGAUCCCUGAAAGAUGAUCAGGUUGAUAGGUCUGAGGUGGAAGUGUGGCGACACAUGGAGCUGACAGAUACUAAUCGAUCGAGGACUUAACCAUUUU